RNAcentral lists this ribosomal RNA (818 nucleotides) under Phyllodytes magnus. RNAcentral describes it as "Phyllodytes sp. n. IRD-2019 partial large subunit ribosomal RNA". It matches the Rfam family "Bacterial large subunit ribosomal RNA", at positions 1482 to 2561 of the family's 2925-position model. Lineage: Eukaryota; Metazoa; Chordata; Amphibia; Anura; Hylidae. The record is from RNAcentral.
UAAAUUUCUUUAAACAAACCGAACCCUUUAAUUUUAUUGAGUAAUUCUAUAUCAUUAUAGAAUCUAUAAUGUUAAAACUAGUAACAAGAAGAAGACCUUCUCUUAAAUGCAAGUAUAAAUCAGCAAGAACCCACCACUGAUAAUUAACAUCCAUGAAAUUAUAUUAGCAACUCCCCAAGAAAACCCUGAUAAAUUUUAUGUUAACCUAACACGAGAGCAUUCAAAGAAAGAUUAAAAGAAAAAGAAGGAACUCGGCAAAUAAUAACCCCGCCUGUUUACCAAAAACAUCGCCUCUUGAGAAAUUAUAAGAGGUCCAGCCUGCCCAGUGAUUUAUUCAACGGCCGCGGUAUCUUAACCGCGCGAAGGUAGCAUAAUCAAUUGUUCUUUAAAUGGGGACUUGUAUGAAUGGCACCACGAAGGUUGUACUGUCUCCUUUUUUUAAUCAGUGAAACUAAUCCCCCCGUGAAGAAGCGGGGAUAAAAAUAUAAGACGAGAAGACCCUAUGGAGCUUCAAACUAAGUAACAAAUAUUUUGUGUUUAAAAUUUUCCAGAAUAAAAACCCUUAUUGUUAUAUUAUGAUUAAUAGUUUUAGGUUGGGGCGACCGCGGAGUAAAACUCAACCUCCGCACUGAAAGAAUCUACUUCUGAGCCAAGAGCCACGACUCUAAGUACCAAUAAAUUGACAUCAAUUGACCCAAUAUUUUGAUCAACGAACCAAGUUACCCUAGGGAUAACAGCGCAAUCCACUUCAAGAGACCCUAUCAAAAAGUGGGCUUACGACCUCGAUGUUGGAUCAGGGUAUCCCAGUGGUGCAGCCG